Molecule: ribosomal RNA, 286 nt
Filed under: uncultured bacterium
Lineage: Bacteria
Description: partial 16S ribosomal RNA
Rfam family: Bacterial small subunit ribosomal RNA
Source: RNAcentral
CUCGGCCUACGGGGGGCAGCAGUAGGGAAUAUUGCUCAAUGGGGGAAACCCUGAAGCAGCAACGCCGCGUGGGUGAAGAAGCGCCUCGGCGCGUAAAGCCCUGUCAGCAGGGAAGAAAAUGACGGUACCUGAAGAAGAAGCCCCGGCUAACUACGUGCCAGCAGCCGCGGUAAUACGUAGGGGGCAAGCGUUAUCCGGAUUUACUGGGUGUAAAGGGGGCGCAGACGGCGAUGCAAGCCAGGAGUGAAAGCCCGGGGCCCAACCCCGGCACUCCCCCCCCCCCUCC